GAUGAACGCUGGCGGCGUGCCUAAUACAUGCAAGUCGAGCGAACGGACGAGAAGCUUGCUUCUCUGAUGUUAGCGGCGGACGGGUGAGUAACACGUGGAUAACCUACCUAUAAGACUGGGAUAACUUCGGGAAACCGGAGCUAAUACCGGAUGAUAUUUUGAACCGCAUGGUUCAAAAGUGAAAGACGGUCUUGCUGUCACUUAUAGAUGGAUCCGCGCUGCAUUAGCUAGUUGGUAAGGUAACGGCUUACCAAGGCAACGAUGCAUAGCCGACCUGAGAGGGUGAUCGGCCACACUGGAACUGAGACACGGUCCAGACUCCUACGGGAGGCAGCAGUAGGGAAUCUUCCGCAAUGGGCGAAAGCCUGACGGAGCAACGCCGCGUGAGUGAUGAAGGUCUUCGGAUCGUAAAACUAUGUUAGUAGGGAAGAACAUAUGUGUAAGUAACUGUGCACAUCUUGACGGUACCUAAUCAGAAAGCCACGGCUAACUACGUG
RNAcentral lists this ribosomal RNA (497 nucleotides) under uncultured bacterium. Its description in RNAcentral is "partial 16S ribosomal RNA". It matches the Rfam family "Bacterial small subunit ribosomal RNA", at positions 28 to 507 of the family's 1533-position model. The record is from RNAcentral.